Molecule: long non-coding RNA, 656 nt
Organism: Ornithodoros turicata
Lineage: Eukaryota; Metazoa; Arthropoda; Arachnida; Ixodida; Argasidae
Exons: 3
Source: RefSeq, a predicted model, not a curated record
GAAGAGAGUCAGUACGGGGGUGUCCCGUCAGUUGAAUGAGGCCCCUUGGCUACCGGGCUGCUCCUAUUGGGGACAGCGACAUCAGUGUCCCUGUUGCCAUACCAUGGAGGCAAUCGUUUGGCACCGUCCAUGCAUGAUGCCAGCAUGACCAUUGGCGGUAGUGGACACUACCCUGCUCCCGCGGAGACGGUCAUUUACAUAGUUGAACACGCAGCACCGAUUAAUAGGUUUAAGGGUGGCUUUGGAGGCGGGUAUGGCAAUGGCCUCAGCGCAAGCAGCACUGGUGGUACGGGAAACGGUGGCCAACGAGGGAGUAGUACUGUCUACAUCGUGGAACAGAUUUCCGAUGGCAGAUCCGGAACACAUAGUGGACCAUGGCAGCAAGCAGUUGGAAGAGGAAGCUUCGCAGGGAAAGCGGUGUUUGGACGACCAGAAACAUUUUGGACUAUUGGCCUAACUAGCGACGGAAGCAAAUCUGUGAAACUUCGAGGUAGAAACAGAGGCAGAAGCCAUAAUUCAUGGCAGUACUCGUAGAGGAAUGGAUAGAUUUCGACCUGAUAGUAGGAGUUCUUGCCUCACCUGUGGUCACCUCAUUUGCCUCAUAAACAUGUCUGGUAUGGUGAUUGUUUCCGCGCAUGUUCUGUGUUGAGCAGUGU